RNAcentral lists this ribosomal RNA (269 nucleotides) under uncultured bacterium. RNAcentral describes it as "partial 16S ribosomal RNA". It matches the Rfam family "Bacterial small subunit ribosomal RNA", at positions 30 to 295 of the family's 1533-position model. The record is from RNAcentral.
AUUGAACGCUGGCGGCAGGCCUAACACAUGCAAGUCGAGCGGUAACAGGGGAAGCUUGCUUCCCGCUGACGAGCGGCGGACGGGUGAGUAAUGUAUGGGGAUCUGCCCGAUAGAGGGGGAUAACCACUGGAAACGGUGGCUAAUACCGCAUAAUCUCUUAGGAGCAAAGCAGGGGAACUUCGGUCCUUGCGCUAUCGGAUGAACCCAUAUGGGAUUAGCUAGUAGGUGGGGUAAUGGCUCACCUAGGCGACGAUCCCUAGCUGGUCUGA